AUGUGCAUACCAAAGAAAUAUGGAGGUAUGGGAUUUAGGGACAUCCACUAUUUCAACCUUGCACUUCUAAAAAAACAAGCCUGGCGUCUUAUUGAUAGCCCAGAUUCAUUGUGUGCAACUAUUCCGAAAGCUAAGUACUAUCCAGAAAGAGACCUACUGGAGGAAAGUGUAAAGCCAAAAUCAUCUUUCACAUGGCAGAGCAUUAUGGACAUGGUAGACACAUUGAGACGUGGGUAUAUUUGGAGGAUUGGAGAUGUUCAAAAGGUGAACAUAUGGGAGGAUUCAUGGAUUCCUCAAUCGCCAACAAAAAAAGUGCUAACUAUCAGGGAGUUGCUCUUAAUAUCCCGAGUUUGCGACCUUAUUGAUCCGGUGACUAGAGAUUGGGAUAUACAGUUGGUGAUCCAAGCGUUCUGGAAUGUGGACGUUCACAGGAUCCUAGCUAUACCCUUACCUUUAUAUGAAAUGUCAGAUUUUAUUGAAUGGAGCCCUACCAAGGACGGUAUCUUCUCAGUGCAAUCAGCUUAUCAAAUUGAAUGGAAUUUUCAGUUUGGUGCUCUGAAUCAUAAUAAUGUGGGUCCAUCAUCACCUUAUAAGAAGUGGAAUUUAAUUUGGAGCUUAGAAUGCCGAGCAAAAAUUAAAAUCUUUACAUGGCGGUUCCUACAUGCUGCUCUUCCAUGUCGAGCAAUCCUAGCUUCUAAGCACAUGAAGGUUAAAAUUUAG
RNAcentral lists this ribosomal RNA (720 nucleotides) under Triticum aestivum (bread wheat). RNAcentral describes it as "partial small subunit ribosomal RNA". The record is from RNAcentral. Lineage: Eukaryota; Viridiplantae; Streptophyta; Magnoliopsida; Poales; Poaceae.